Molecule: long non-coding RNA, 1261 nt
Organism: Gadus morhua (Atlantic cod)
Lineage: Eukaryota; Metazoa; Chordata; Actinopteri; Gadiformes; Gadidae
Exons: 3
Source: RefSeq, a predicted model, not a curated record
UUAAAGAGAGCGCCGGAAAUACAUAAAUACGCUCUAAAAUCAGUUUUGCGACACGGCAAAUCGUUUUAAGACACAUUGCAUAGACCAAGAGAGUUCCUCUUCUUUAUUUACCAACUAAAAUACUGUGUGUGUGUGUGUGUGUGUGUGUGUGUGUGUGUGUGUGUGUGUGUGUGUGUCCUACUCCUACUCGUUCAAAAAAUAUGACCACGCGAUUCUAAUUGAGUGUAGUAAAGUUUGUUUUUACUUUUUUAUACCUGACAAAACAUCGACCUACCUAUGGUACUGCCUUGCUGCUUGAAGUGUAAUCCCAAAACGCAGUCAAUUUUUUGCAGCACAGGUCCGCCUAUGGCAUUCUGGAGCGUUCUAGGCUCACAGGUUUAACCGGAUCGGUGGCAUUCUCCACGGCAGGCCCAUACAUCCGUCUGUGUUACAAGUUUGGGUGUUCGAGUACAACAUGAAUCUAUCCGAAUUUCAGUCUACCUGAACUCUAAAAUCCGAGUAAAGACCUGUGUGAGUUAAACCAGCGGAAUCUAAGACCGAUUUCUCAACCCAUUCCGAUUCAUUCCGUGAACUGUUUCAGAUGUAAAGAUACUCAGGAUUAAUUUGGCUUCUUUCCACUGGAGGGAGGAUGUUCCCCCUAACCCCAUCCUUGUGGUUGCCCACGGCUACUGCGGCGUCACUGCUUAGCCUAUCACUAAUAGUGGUUAUGUGUGUGCUGAGGAAGAAACGGCGGCUGGAGGGAACAUACAGGCCAAGCGCCGAGGAGAGGAAGCAAGUCGGCGCACCAGGAUCAGAGAGGCCGGGCCUGCCCCUUCCUAUUCCCAAAGAAGAGCGCCUGAUAUGACUCUCGUUGGGACAAAUCCGGGGGGCUCCAUGUAGGGUGUUGCUGAAGCGUUUCACUUUCCGCUACAUUACUUUCUAAUGUUGCCUCCUUCCGCGCUUGUGUCCCGUCUCCAACUGUUGACUAAUAGAUCUAUGUUGCUCCGGGUUGAAGACACAAUAGGCCGAUCCAGAUACUCUGUUCCUCUGUGCAUUUUUCAAAAAGUCGCUUCAAAGUCAUUUAAAGACCUUUAAGUAUUUUCUUUUUUAUUUGUACAAUGGAAGUACCGUUAUUUAUGUAAAACAUGGUGUGAUCUUUAUAUUUAUAAAAACAUUUAUGAAGAGAGAUUCUAGAGAAAGAGGCACUGAAGUUUACCAUGAUGCACUUUGAUGUUGAGCUCAUAACAAUGAUUUAAUACAAAAUAAAUAUAAAUCUAUUUUG